GUCGCGGCAGGAACAACAUACAAAAUAUGACAAUUGCACCUCAGGCUGUUUUAGGUAAAACUUUCCAUUGACGUGAACCAAUCAGAUGAGGGUUGGCGUCUGCAUUAAGACCCUCACCAGUGUCACUUAUUCACAAUAUUGACUGAGAUGGAGAGGCCAAGACUUGCUCUUAUCGCACUCAUGUUUUUACUGUUUCAUCAGAAAUUAAUCUUUGGAGAAGAAGUGGAGAUGAAAGUCAGACCAGGAGACAACAUCACUCUCUACUGUGAUCGCUCUGUAACUCUUGGUUCUGUUGUUGUAUGGAUAAGAAACUGCUCUCAUGAAAGUCAACCUUCUCUCAUAAUAGAUUAUAAGAAACUGGAACUGGAGAUAUUUCAGCGAUUCAGCUUUAUCCACAACACCUAUAAUAAUUCUCAUGAUCUACAUAUCACUAAUAUCAGUGUCUCUGAUCUGGGACUGUACUACUGUGCAAAAGUAGAGAAAAAGGUAAAUCAAGAUGAAAAAGGCAUCCUCUCCCGGUCUGAGGUGUACUAUUAUGGAAACCAAACAACUCGUCUUUCUCUGAAAGUGAAUUCCUGUUCUGGACCCCUGAACACCACCUCCACACCACCUCCUGUAUCAGACUGUCUGCUCUGCUGGACGCUGCUGUUCAGUGUGUGUCCAGUGUGUUGUCUCUUCUCCUCCAUCUGUGUAUUCUGCCUCUGUUGUAGGAAAACUACAGAUUCUGCAACUGAUCAAAAACUCAAGCAGAAAGGUAGAAAUAUUAUUGAGGAAAAUUAUGAUACCGAGGUGUGUUAUGCAUCUGUGGACUUGAUGACCAGGAGACAAAACCGACACAAGAAAACACAAGCGCCAAGUUCAGAUUUCACUACUUACGCUCCUAUCCGAACAGAAGCUGAAUAGAUUAGAAAGCUGGAGGAGAAAAGAAUCUUUGGAGAAGAAGUGGAGAUGAAAGUCAGACCAGGAGACAACAUCACUCUCUACUGUGAUCGCUCUGUAACCCUUGGUUCCAAAAUUGUAUGGAUAAGAAACUGCUCUCAUGAAAAUCAGCCUUCUCUCAUAAUAGAUUAUAAGAAACUGUACCUGGAGAUAUUUCAGCGAUUCAGCUUUAUCCACAACCCUUACAGUAAAUCCUACGAUUUACAUAUUACUAACAUCAGUGUCUCUGAUCUGGGACUGUACUACUGUGCAAAACUAGAGAAUAAUAUAAGGAAAGAUGCAAAAGGCAUCAUUUUCUCAUCAGAAGUGUACUAUUAUGGAAACCAAACUCGUCUCUCUCUGAAAGUUGAGCAAGUAUCUUCCUGUUCUGGACCCUUGAAUACUACCUCAAUACCACCUCCUGUAUCAGACUGUGUGCUCUGCUGGACGCUGCUGUUCAGUGUGUGUCCAGUGUGUGUUCUCCUUUCCUCCAUCUGUGUGUACUGUGUCUGUUGUAAGAAAACUACAGAUGCUGUGACAGAUCAGAAAGACAAGUUAAAAGGUAGAAACAGAGCUGAGUGCAUGGAUGAAGAGGUGUGUUAUGCAUCUUUAGAUGUGACCAUCAAGAGACAAAAACAAUGCAAGAAAAAGCGAGUGCAGAGUUCUGACUUCAGUACUUACGCUCAGGUCAGAACACAGACUGAAUAGACGUAAACAGAACAGAGGUGGAUUCUGAAACUUUCCAAAUAUAAGGAAAUCUGCAGGUUUUAUUGUCAUGUAACAUCACAUGUAAUCGUACAAGGUAGAGGACUUUUUAUUAUUACAUUUGAAAGUAAAAUAUAUGUAAUUACAUACUUGGAUACCUUUUACAUUGAUAUUUUUAUGAGCUAAAAAAUUCUAACCUGAAUUGUUACUCUGGUACUCAUUUUUUUCCCACCUCUAAUAGAAGUGUGUUAGUACAGUCUUUGUGGAAACACAGUGAUGAUCUGAAUAACAGGAUGUGCAAGUAGGUUACCUUUGUGAAGUGGUGUUUAGUUUAAGGUGUGUAUAUUUUUCUUAAACUGA
Molecule: long non-coding RNA, 1983 nt
Organism: Cyprinus carpio carpio
Lineage: Eukaryota; Metazoa; Chordata; Actinopteri; Cypriniformes; Cyprinidae
Source: Ensembl